Molecule: transfer RNA, 77 nt
Filed under: Ipomoea nil (Japanese morning glory)
Lineage: Eukaryota; Viridiplantae; Streptophyta; Magnoliopsida; Solanales; Convolvulaceae
Rfam family: tRNA
About the family: Transfer RNA (tRNA) molecules are approximately 80 nucleotides in length. Their secondary structure includes four short double-helical elements and three loops (D, anti-codon, and T loops).
Source: Rfam by way of RNAcentral
UGCGUCUUGGCCGAGUGGUCUAGGCGCCAGAUUUAGGCUUGGUCCGAAAGGCGUGGGUUCAAAUCCCACAUGUGUCA